Molecule: transfer RNA, 72 nt
Filed under: Cavia porcellus (domestic guinea pig)
Lineage: Eukaryota; Metazoa; Chordata; Mammalia; Rodentia; Caviidae
Rfam family: tRNA
About the family: Transfer RNA (tRNA) molecules are approximately 80 nucleotides in length. Their secondary structure includes four short double-helical elements and three loops (D, anti-codon, and T loops).
Source: Rfam by way of RNAcentral
GGGGAUUUAGCUAAGUGGUACAGCAUUUGCCUGAAAAGUAUGAGGUCCUGAGUUUGAUUCCCAGUACCCUCC